UUCAAUGGGCGGGCGCAGGCAGGGGAGCCUCCGGGCUCGCCGGCUCCUAAUCCCCGGUCUGCUAACCCUGCCUUGCGCCCGCCCACCCCA
RNAcentral lists this non-coding RNA (90 nucleotides) under Cupriavidus taiwanensis. Lineage: Bacteria; Pseudomonadati; Pseudomonadota; Betaproteobacteria; Burkholderiales; Burkholderiaceae. The record is from RNAcentral.